UUUUGGACAAUGGGCGCAAGCCUGAUCCAGCCAUGCCGCGUGUAUGAAGAAGGCCUUCGGGUUGUAAAGUACUUUUGUCAGGGAAGAAAAGCCUGAGGAUAACACCCUCAGGUCAUGACGGUACCUGAAGAAUAAGCACCGGCUAACUACGUGCCAGCAGCCGCGGUAAUACGUAGGGUGCGAGCGUUAAUCGGAAUUACUGGGCGUAAAGCGAGCGCAGACGGUUAUUUAAGCAAGAUGUGAAAGCCCCGGGCUCAACCUGGGAACUGCGCUUUGAACUGGGUAACUAGAGUGUGUCAGAGGGGGGUAGAAUUCCACGUGUAGCAGUGAAAUGCGUAGAGAUGUGGAGGAAUACCGAUGGCGAAGGCAGCCCCCUGGGAUAACACUGACGUCAUGCUCGAAA
This 403-nucleotide ribosomal RNA is filed under the name uncultured bacterium. Its description in RNAcentral is "bacterial SSU rRNA". It matches the Rfam family "Bacterial small subunit ribosomal RNA", at positions 362 to 758 of the family's 1533-position model. The record is from RNAcentral.